This 156-nucleotide ribosomal RNA is filed under the name uncultured Gardnerella sp. RNAcentral's name for it is "partial 16S ribosomal RNA". It matches the Rfam family "Bacterial small subunit ribosomal RNA", at positions 359 to 527 of the family's 1533-position model. The record is from RNAcentral. Lineage: Bacteria; Bacillati; Actinomycetota; Actinomycetes; Bifidobacteriales; Bifidobacteriaceae.
GGGCAUUGCGCAUGGGGGAAGCCUGAGCAGCGACGCCGCGUGCGGGAUGAAGGCCUUCGGGUUGUAAACCGCUUUUGAUUGGGAGCAAGCCUUUUGGGUGCCUGUACCUUUAGAAUAAGCGCCGGAUAACUACGUGCCCGCAGCCGUGCUAAUACA